Molecule: transfer RNA, 72 nt
Filed under: Nocardioidaceae bacterium
Lineage: Bacteria; Bacillati; Actinomycetota; Actinomycetes; Propionibacteriales; Nocardioidaceae
Also listed under: 1 other name
Rfam family: tRNA
About the family: Transfer RNA (tRNA) molecules are approximately 80 nucleotides in length. Their secondary structure includes four short double-helical elements and three loops (D, anti-codon, and T loops).
Source: Rfam by way of RNAcentral
GCGACGGUAGCUCAGCGGUAGAGCACUCGGUUUACACCCGAGCGGUCGGCGGUUCGAAACCGUCCCGUCGCA